RNAcentral lists this long non-coding RNA (275 nucleotides) under Cavia porcellus (domestic guinea pig). RNAcentral's name for it is "lncRNA (ENSCPOG00000037789.1)". The record is from RNAcentral. Lineage: Eukaryota; Metazoa; Chordata; Mammalia; Rodentia; Caviidae.
CUUCACCUGUCUCUUCCUCCCAGCACACCUUCUUUAGGGAAGCAACCCUGGCCAACAGACCACCAUCUCAGAGCCCACCAGUCCCCCAGCAGGAAGGACUACAGAGACACAGAAACUUGCCUGAAGACAGACAGACAUCAACCAGAAGGGACAGGAUCCAAACCAUAAUGAUGGGCACCACCUACUCAGUGCUUAGCGACUGUUUAUUCUGAUGGACACAAAGCUGUGGCCACGUUACAAAGGGCACCGUCAGAACAGCUUUAUUUGAAUACAGG